UACGUAGGGCCCGAGCGUUGUCCGGAUUCAUUGGGCGUAAAGAGCGUGUAGGCGGCCCGAUAAGUCCGCUGUGAAAGUCCAGGGCUCAACCCUGGGAUGCCGGUGGAUACUGUCGGGCUCGAGUCCGGAAGAGGAGUGUGGAAUUCCUGGUGUAGCGGUGAAAUGCGCAGAUAUCAGGAGGAACACCAAUGGCGAAGGCAGCACUCUGGGACGUGACUGACGCUGAGACGCGAAAGCGUGGGUAGCAAACAGG
Molecule: ribosomal RNA, 253 nt
Filed under: uncultured bacterium
Lineage: Bacteria
Description: partial 16S ribosomal RNA
Rfam family: Bacterial small subunit ribosomal RNA
Source: RNAcentral